UUGGAGGGCAAGUCUGGUGCCAGCAGCCGCGGUAAUUCCAGCUCCAAUAGCGUAUAUUAAAGUUGUUGCAGUUAAAAAGCUCGUAGUUGAAUUUCGGGAUCGACGGGUCGGUCGCGCCUCUGGUGUGUACUGGCCCUGUCGGUUUCUCCCUUCUGACGAACCACGAUGUCAUUAAUUUGGUGUCGUGGGGAAUCAGGACUGUUACUUUGAAAAAAUUAGAGUGUUUAAAGCAAGCAUUCGCUUGAAUACAUUAGCAUGGAAUAAUGAAAUAGGACGUUUGAUCUUAUUUUGUUGGUUUCUAAGAUCGACGUAAUGAUUAAUAGGGAUAGUUGGGGGCAUUAGUAUUCAAUUGUCAGAGGUGAAAUUCUUGGAUUUAUUGAAGACUAACUACUGCGAAAGCAUUUGCCAAGGAUGUUUUCAUUAAUCAAGAACGAAAGUUAGGGGAUCGAAGACGAUCAGAUACCGUCGUAGUCUUAACCAUAAACUAUGCCGACUAGGGAUCGGAUGAUGUUAAUUUUUUAAUGACUCAUUCGGCACCUUACGGGAAAC
This 549-nucleotide ribosomal RNA is filed under the name uncultured Glomus. RNAcentral's name for it is "SSU rRNA". It matches the Rfam family "Eukaryotic small subunit ribosomal RNA", at positions 548 to 1098 of the family's 1831-position model. Lineage: Eukaryota; Fungi; Glomeromycota; Glomeromycetes; Glomerales; Glomeraceae. The record is from RNAcentral.